This 529-nucleotide ribosomal RNA is filed under the name uncultured bacterium. RNAcentral describes it as "partial 16S ribosomal RNA". It matches the Rfam family "Bacterial small subunit ribosomal RNA", at positions 355 to 900 of the family's 1533-position model. The record is from RNAcentral.
UGGGGAAUAUUGCACAAUGGGCGAAAGCCUGAUGCAGCAACGCCGCGUGAGUGAUGAAGGUCUUCGGAUUGUAAAGCUCUGUCUUUUGGGACGAUAAUGACGGUACCAAAGGAGGAAGCCACGGCUAACUACGUGCCAGCAGCCGCGGUAAUACGUAGGUGGCGAGCGUUGUCCGGAUUUACUGGGCGUAAAGGGUGCGUAGGCGGAUGUUUAAGUGAGAUGUGAAAUACCCGGGCUUAACUUGGGUGCUGCAUUUCAAACUGGAUAUCUAGAGUGCAGGAGAGGAGAAUGGAAUUCCUAGUGUAGCGGUGAAAUGCGUAGAGAUUAGGAAGAGCACCAGUGGCGAAGGCGAUUCUCUGGACUGUAACUGACGCUGAGGCACGAAAGCGUGGGUAGCAAACAGGAUUAGAUACCCUGGUAGUCCACGCCGUAAACGAUGAGUACUAGGUGUAGGAGGUAUCGACCCCUUCUGUGCCGCAGUAAACACAUUAAGUACUCCGCCUGGGAAGUACGAUCGCAAGAUUAAAAC